UGACAUGUCUAUUAAAGUACCAAGAAA
This 27-nucleotide small RNA is filed under the name Bombyx mori (domestic silkworm). RNAcentral describes it as "ovarian small RNA-31466". The record is from RNAcentral. Lineage: Eukaryota; Metazoa; Arthropoda; Insecta; Lepidoptera; Bombycidae.